GAUGAACGCUAGCUACAGGCUUAACACAUGCAAGUCGAGGGGCAGCAUGGUCUUAGCUUGCUAAGGCCGAUGGCGACCGGCGCACGGGUGAGUAACACGUAUCCAACCUGCCGUCUACUCUUGGACAGCCUUCUGAAAGGAAGAUUAAUACAAGAUGGCAUCAUGAGUCCGCAUGUUCACAUGAUUAAAGGUAUUCCGGUAGACGAUGGGGAUGCGUUCCAUUAGAUAGUAGGCGGGGUAACGGCCCACCUAGUCUUCGAUGGAUAGGGGUUCUGAGAGGAAGGUCCCCCACAUUGGAACUGAGACACGGUCCAAACUCCUACGGGAGGCAGCAGUGAGGAAUAUUGGUCAAUGGGCGAGAGCCUGAACCAGCCAAGUAGCGUGAAGGAUGACUGCCCUAUGGGUUGUAAACUUCUUUUAUAAAGGAAUAAAGUCGGGUAGGGAUACCCGUUUGCAUGUACUUUAUGAAUAAGGAGCGGCUAACUCCGUG
Molecule: ribosomal RNA, 490 nt
Filed under: uncultured bacterium
Lineage: Bacteria
Description: partial 16S ribosomal RNA
Rfam family: Bacterial small subunit ribosomal RNA
Source: RNAcentral